UACGGAGGGUGCGAGCGUUAAUCGGAAUUACUGGGCGUAAAGCGCGCGUAGGCGGUUUGCUAAGUCGGAUGUGAAAUCCCCGGGCUCAACCUGGGAACUGCAUCCGAUACUGGCCGACUCGAGUGCGAGAGAGGGAGGUAGAAUUCCACGUGUAGCGGUGAAAUGCGUAGAUAUCAGGAGGAACACCAAUUGCGAAGGCAGCUCGCUGGGACGUGACUGACGCUGAGACGCGAAAGCGUGGGGAGCAAACAGG
This 253-nucleotide ribosomal RNA is filed under the name uncultured bacterium. RNAcentral's name for it is "partial 16S ribosomal RNA". It matches the Rfam family "Bacterial small subunit ribosomal RNA", at positions 524 to 776 of the family's 1533-position model. The record is from RNAcentral.